RNAcentral lists this long non-coding RNA (264 nucleotides) under Vigna radiata. RNAcentral describes it as "long non-coding RNA (VRAD_LNC013462)". The record is from RNAcentral. Lineage: Eukaryota; Viridiplantae; Streptophyta; Magnoliopsida; Fabales; Fabaceae.
UUUAGUAAGAGUGUAGGAAGAUGAAGAAAGAUGUAGAAAUCGUGUACAAAGUGUGUAUAAAGUGAGUACAAAGGGUUUACAAAUGUUGUAUAAAGGGUGUAUAAAUGGUGUACAAAGGGUGUAUAAAGGGUGUACAAAGGGUGUAGACUCAUUCUACCUCUUUUUAAAAAUUAUGUAGAAAGGCUGCAGAAGGGUGCACAAAUGAUAUAUAAAGGGGUUAGAAAGGAUAUAGAAAAGGUGUAGAAAAACUGCUGAAAAGGUUUA